Molecule: long non-coding RNA, 2535 nt
Organism: Ictidomys tridecemlineatus (thirteen-lined ground squirrel)
Lineage: Eukaryota; Metazoa; Chordata; Mammalia; Rodentia; Sciuridae
Source: RefSeq, a predicted model, not a curated record
CUCCGGGAGGGGCCCCGCCUCUUAUCGCGAGACUACAGGCCGCUGUUCUCUGAUCGCUGCCUUCGAAAUCCUCGCAGAGGAGACGAUAUGAGAGACGGUGGGUGCUCCCCGAGUUUAGAUACUUGAAUAAACCAAAAAUAGUGCUGGUACGAGGAUUAUGUAGAUCUAAACCUCAGUCCCCUUCUGCGCGGUACUGGGAACAGCUCUCCCCGGGGCCUGGAGUAAAGGGAGCCAAAUGUAGCAGACUCCAGGCCGACCCACGGGUCGAGACCCAGUGAGGACUUGGGUAAGUGGUAAACUGAGGCUUCCUUGGCCAGCAAAAGCGGACAGCGACAAUGAGGGAAAGCAAAUGGGCGCUCAGAGACACUCUGGCCUUGGUUUCCAGGCUCUUGACCACUAGGUCGCCUUCCACGACAGGAAGAUUGGAGGAGGAAAGGGCCCUGCCAACCCUGAUUCACCCCGGGCCAGCCGCAUUACUAUUUCACGGACUCAUCUAAAUCCUGCCAGGGAAUGAGGGGUAACGAAAAAUACUCAUGUGCUGACAGAACUGAAAGUGUGGUGGAAAAAACAGUACACUUUGUUCUUGUAUGAUUCAGUAUACGUAACAACCAAGAUGUAAACUGAAGCCAGAGACUGAGACAGGAGGAAUGCAAGUUCACAGCCAGCCUAAGCAACUCAGUGAGACCCUGUCUCUAAAUAAAAUAUAAAAAAAAAAAGGACUGGGGGUGUGGCUCAAUAGUUAAGGGACCCUGAGUUCAAUCCCCAGUACCAAAGGGGGGGGUGUGGGAGACCUAAACCUAGAGACAUGUAAGAGCUAGAAAAGUAUGAAGGAGCAAUUAGUGAGAAAAAGAAACAGACCAAUUAUAAAACAUAUUCAUAAAGUUAUAACUUACUUUAAAUUACUUUUUCUAAAUGAGCAAAUAAUAUGGUUGAGCACUUCUCCCCUCCUCUGAUUGCUUUAACAGAUAAAUUGUGGAGUAUUGGCACUGUGACAUAGUUAGCAGGAAAACCAGUCCCCUUUCCUAGUCCUGCUUAAUUUACAUACUGUAAUAUUGUUGGUUGAACUUCAAAAGUCUUACUUUUUAAUUGAAAAUAAAAUCUGGUUUUUAUUUUAAUAGCUCUAUAACUAUUCCACAUACUGAUUUCUUUUGGGGGAAAUUCAUCUCAAUAAUACAUUAACUCCAAAUGUAAUCGGUUGUAGUUAGCAAAUAUAAAGUACCACCUUAAUGUUAAAUUAGCCAUACAUUUAACAAAUUGUGAAUUAAUAGUAUGCUAGUCACAUUUAAAACAUAUUAAAAUAAAUUUGGAGACUGGGCUAUAGCUCAGUAAGAGAACUUUCCUAGCAUUCAAGAGGACCUGAGUCCAAUCCCAAGCAAUGUAAAACAUUUUUUAACUAAUUCCAGAAGCAACAAAUUAAAAUUUAAUAUUAGGGGAAGUUCCAGCUGUUCUACACUAUACAAGUAAUCCAAAUUGCUUACCAAAUAUAAACUUACUUUCUGACCAUCCCUUAGCUAUUUUUGUAGUAAUCAGAUUUCUACUUGAAAAUAGAAUUAUAGGCAAAUUGUAAUUGAUUUUUUGCCCCCUCUAAAUGAUAUACAUAGAACAUUAGAACUGGAAACUAAGGAUUUUUAGGAUUCUGAAAAUUUUAGAUUUUGAGCAUAGGUCUACUUGGAGUAGACUUAUGAACAAGACUCCAAAUCUCAGACAUUAGAACAGUAUAACCAUAGUUUUACUAAAGUAAACCAGGCAGUUGAUGACUUUCACUUUUCCCACUGGUUCUUUUCCCCUUAACAUAGUCAAUGAUCUUCCCUGCUACCUUCUCCAGCUCACUGCCCACAUCUUCCCUUUUCUUGAGUUCCAGCCUUCUUUCUAUUGAUAUGCUGGAUUCCCUCCUCCUCAUGGACUUUUGCUGAAAGAUUCAUCCUAUCUGGAAUACUCUCUGCUGUUUUACUGUCCCCCACACCCACCCCAUCCCUCAGACACAGAUAAAUUUAUCCCACACAUCAACUUUGAUUCCUUACUAAAUGGGUUCUUGGUUUGAUACUCAAGGCCACCUAUACUUUUUUUUAAAUCACUUAACAGUUCAGUUGUUUAAUGUGUUUUCCCCAACACAUUGCAAGCCAAGACACUAGGAAAUCUGUUUUAUCAUUGUCUCCCAAGCACAAACUAGGCUAAAAUAUUUAAAAGCAAAAAUUGUUUCAUACUUAUGGUGCAAGCUACAUCAUACAAUAUAGUCUAUUCUUUGGAGCAUUUGUUUUCUGACUUCGUAAGUAUUUGAUAAACUUCUUAUUCCUAGGCUUUAUUAAAAGACUAAAGUUAAGCAGUAAAGGAAUAUUGACAGUUCACAGCUCAUACUGAAAUAUUUUAAUGUAAACAUUUCAAUUAACAAACACUAUAAAAAGUAGUACAAUCAAAAAUAGACUGGCAAAUGCAAAGUUUUUGGAAAAUAAAAGUUCUCACGGUCCAAUCUUCCAAGCGUCAAAACUGUGAAGUUUCUUUAAAAAUACUGGCAUUUAAUAAAUAAACUCUAACAAA